This 774-nucleotide ribosomal RNA is filed under the name uncultured Neocallimastigales. RNAcentral's name for it is "partial large subunit ribosomal RNA". It matches the Rfam family "Eukaryotic large subunit ribosomal RNA", at positions 24 to 645 of the family's 3401-position model. Lineage: Eukaryota; Fungi; Neocallimastigomycota; Neocallimastigomycetes; Neocallimastigales. The record is from RNAcentral.
UCGCAUCUGUGCAUGCAGCAUAUCAAUAAGCGGAGGAAAAGAAACUAACAAGGAUUCCCUCAGUAACGGCGAGUGAAGCGUGAAGAGCUCAAAUUUGAAAUCUUAAAGGUCUACCUUGCACGAAUUGUAGUUUAAAGAAGUGUCUUCUGUGACGUAUCGGUAUAUAAGUUCUUUGGAAUAGGACAUCACUAGAGGGUGAGAAUCCCGUCUAUGAUUGCGAUUUGUAGCUUUGUGAUACACUUUCAAAGAGUCGGGUUGUUUGGGAAUGCAGCCCAAAACGGGAGGUAAAUUUCUUCUAAGGCUAAAUAUUGGCGAGAGACCGAUAGCGAACAAGUACCGUGAGGGAGAGAUGAAAAGAACUUUGAAAAGAGAGUUAAAUAGUACGUGAAAUUGUCAAAAGGGAAGCGUUUAACACCAGUGUUGUUUUCUGAAAAUCAACCUCUGUUAGCUUUAUGCAUGUUUGUUUAGACCUAAUCAGCUAUCUUGCAUGUUCUAUUGUUUGCAGUGGUGCACUUUUCAGUUUACAGGUCAACAUCAGUUUUUUUUACCGUAAAAAAGUUAAAGAAAGGUAGCUCAUGGCUCCGGUCGUGAGUGUUAUAGUCUUUUUCCUAUGCGGUAGGAGAGACUGAGGUCUGCAGUGUAGGCUAUUUGGCUAGAUACUCAGGUGCUAUGUGAUACCAUUUCAUAAACAACUUGUUGAUUAUGUUUUGUCUAUUGCAUACUCGCUUGUACUAUCAUACCUACGCUUAGGAUGUUGAAGUCAUCGUAUCGCGC